CAGCAGCCGCGGUAAUACGAAGGGGGCUAGCGUUGUUCGGAUUUACUGGGCGUAAAGCGCACGUAGGCGGAUCGAUCAGUCAGGGGUGAAAUCCCAGAGCUCAACUCUGGAACUGCCUUUGAUACUGUCGAUCUGGAGUAUGGAAGAGGUGAGUGGAAUUCCGAGUGUAGAGGUGAAAUUCGUAGAUAUUCGGAGGAACACCAGUGGCGAAGGCGGCUCACUGGUCCAUUACUGACGCUGAGGUGCGAAAGCGUGGGGAGCAAACAGGAUUAGAUACCCCAGUAGUCCCUGUCUCUUAUAU
RNAcentral lists this ribosomal RNA (301 nucleotides) under uncultured bacterium. Its description in RNAcentral is "partial 16S ribosomal RNA". It matches the Rfam family "Bacterial small subunit ribosomal RNA", at positions 509 to 809 of the family's 1533-position model. The record is from RNAcentral.